GAGGCGUUCCAACACAAGAUGGCGCUUGUAGCGUUCUUGGGGUUUCAAGACGCUUCAUAUUUAAGCUCCGAGACACACAUUUCUUUGUGCGGGCGCCGCCAUGUUAGUUUUUUAUUAUACCAGAAUGAGGCAAAAUAAAAGAAGCGCCUCCCACCACAGCGCUGUGCUGUGCUCGACUGAGCGGCACGCAGCCGUCAUAAACACCACCGAGGAAAGAUGGCUGACAAGAAAAGGGUAGCACAGAUGGAUAGCAAUGUUACAGCGGAACAGAUGACAGACUUUGAUCGGGGGCUUAUCGUUGGCUUCCACAAAGCGGGGAAGUCGGUGCCCGAAAUUGUGAAGAUGACUGGCCUACCCCAGCGUUUUGUCAAGAGAUUCCUGAAGGACUGGGAUAGGGGUGUUAUCGAUGCACACACCGGACUCUACAAAGAUGGCACUGCCCUGGGCCGGGACAGCGAGGACAGUGCUAAUGAAGGUUGACGGACCUGUGCCUUCAGCAGAGGGACUUGAACCUUUCCUUUGUUCGUUAUACAUUUGUGUUUGCUGUACUGUUUUUGCUGCCACGUAAUAGUAUGGAAAUAAAACAAAAGAACACUUACUCA
This 602-nucleotide long non-coding RNA is filed under the name Scleropages formosus (Asian bonytongue). RNAcentral's name for it is "lncRNA (ENSSFOG00015025389.1)". The record is from RNAcentral. Lineage: Eukaryota; Metazoa; Chordata; Actinopteri; Osteoglossiformes; Osteoglossidae.